This is a long non-coding RNA of Arabidopsis thaliana (thale cress), 294 nucleotides long. RefSeq annotates it as other RNA. Lineage: Eukaryota; Viridiplantae; Streptophyta; Magnoliopsida; Brassicales; Brassicaceae. The record is from RefSeq. The transcript has a single exon.
ACGACAUGUAGUUUAUAAAAGAUUACCAGAAACAGCGUGUAGUGUAGAAUGCUUAAGAGAAAACGAGGAUUGGAAAACCAGAAAUGCGUGUCGUUUGACUCAACGAGAGGGGUUCCUCUAAUUACACUGUUAUUCUCCUUAAUUGUGACCGCCAUUUUCGCUACUAUCAUCUCUAGUUUCGUCCCGAUCACUAAAACUAUCUACGUAACAAUAUUAGUUCGUCAAUAAUUUGAGUUACACAUAUAGUUAAUUAGUCUUAACUAGAUUAAAUUAGCUCUUACAAUGAGUGGCACA